This 36-nucleotide ribosomal RNA is filed under the name Eucalyptus gittinsii subsp. gittinsii. RNAcentral's name for it is "partial 18S ribosomal RNA". The record is from RNAcentral. Lineage: Eukaryota; Viridiplantae; Streptophyta; Magnoliopsida; Myrtales; Myrtaceae.
CAUUGUCGAAUCCUGCAGAGCAGAAUGACCAGAGAA